GGUAGAGUGCCAGAGUGGUUAAUGGGUAUGACUCGAAUUUUCGCACGAUAUCAUAUGCCUUCGGGCUCCUGGGUUCAAAUCCCAGCUCUACCG
Cenococcum geophilum 1.58 is the source of this 93-nucleotide non-coding RNA. The record is from the annotation of a GenBank genome assembly. Lineage: Eukaryota; Fungi; Ascomycota; Dothideomycetes; Gloniales; Gloniaceae.